AAAGUCCCGCAAGGGAUAAGUAGAGUGGCAAACGGGUGAGUAACGCGUGGGUGACCUGCCUUCGAGCGGGGGAUAACGUUCCGAAAGGGACGCUAAUACCGCAUAACAUCCUGCUUUUUAACAAGUGGAGAUCAAAGCUGGGGCUCGCAAGACCUAGCACUCGAAGAGGGGCCCGCGUCUGAUUAGCUAGUUGGUGAGGUAACGGCUCACCAAGGCGACGAUCAGUAUCCGGCCUGAGAGGGCGGACGGACACACUGGGACUGAGACACGGCCCAGACUCCUACGGGAGGCAGCAGUGGGGAAUUGUUCGCAAUGGGCGCAAGCCUGACGACGCAACGCCGCGUGGAGGAUGAAGAUCUUCGGGUCGUAAACUCCUUUCGAUCGAGACGAACGGCCUCCGGGUGAACAAUCCGGAGGAGUGACGGUACCGAGAGAAGAAGCCCCGGCUAACUCCGUGCCAGCAGCCGCGGUAAUACGGGGGGGGCAAGCGUUGUUCGGAAUUACUGGGCGUAAAGGGCUCGUAGGCGGCCAACUAAGUCAGACGUGAAAUCCCUCGGCUUAACCGGGGAACUGCGUCUGAUACUGGAUGGCUUGAGUGUAGGAGAGGGAUGCGGAAUUCCAGGUGUAGCGGUGAAAUGCGUAGAUAUCUGGAGGAACACCGGUGGCGAAGGCGGCAUCCUGGACUACUACUGACGCUGAGUGAGCGAAAGCCAGGGGAGCAAACGGGAUUAGAUACCCCGGUAGUCCUGGCCCUAAACGAUGAAUGCUUGGUGUGACGGGUAUCGAUCCCUGUCGUGCCGAAGCUAACGCAUUAAGCA
Molecule: ribosomal RNA, 818 nt
Filed under: uncultured Bacillota bacterium
Lineage: Bacteria; Bacillati; Bacillota
Description: bacterial SSU rRNA
Rfam family: Bacterial small subunit ribosomal RNA
Source: RNAcentral